This 202-nucleotide ribosomal RNA is filed under the name Clostridioides difficile. RNAcentral's name for it is "partial 23S ribosomal RNA". It matches the Rfam family "Bacterial large subunit ribosomal RNA", at positions 429 to 633 of the family's 2925-position model. The record is from RNAcentral. Lineage: Bacteria; Bacillati; Bacillota; Clostridia; Peptostreptococcales; Peptostreptococcaceae.
AAACCCUGUGGGCAGCAGGAGGACCCACCCUCUAAGGCUAAAUACUACCUAGUGACCGAUAGCGUAUAGUACCGUGAGGGAAAGGUGAAAAGAACCCCGGGAGGGGAGUGAAAUAGAACCUGAAACCCUGCACUUACAAGCUGUGGAAGCACAUUUCUUGUGUGACCGCGUACUUUUUGUAGAACGGGCCAACGAGUUACGU